CGUUUAAGUGCGUAUGGUGGAUGCCUUGGCAUAAUGUGACGAUGAAGGACGCGGCGUGGCUGCGAUAAGCUUCGGUGAGCUGCUCAGCAAGCUUUGACCCGGAGAUUUCCGAAUGGGGAAACCCAAUCAGGCAAACCCUGAUUACCUUGGCCCGUAAGUGGCCCAGUCCACUUUUCCACAUAUGACACGAAUUUGGUGGAGUAAUUUUUUUCUGAAUUUGCGACGUGAGAAGCGCAGUGUACCUCUUGUGGUGCUCGAGCGACGAGCAACAAUAAAAGCAGAAAAAAUUACCCAUCUACGAAAGCGCUAAAAUUCCUGAUUUCUUUGUCGUAUUUUUGGAGCCUAUGCUUUUGCAUAUUGUCUCCCUCGAUACUUCUCGAAAUCAAAAAUUUUAGCUGUUUCCAAAUUUCGCGUUAUAUGUGGAAUAGUGGACGUAAGGAGUGUACCCGCUGAAGUGAAACAUCUCAGUAAGCGGAGGAAAAGAAAAAAAGUCCGUUUUAAACGGAAGAAUUCCCUGAUUAGCGGCGAGCGAAACGGGAAUAGCCCAAACCCUAAAUUUAUUUAGGGGGUUGUAAGGUAGAAACACUUUCUACUAAUCGCUAAGCUUUUUGCUUAGCGAUAAGUGGAAUAAAGAGUUAAAAAUUCUUUAGUUAGUCGAAGCUUCUGGAAAGGAGCGCCAAAGAGGGUGAUAGCCCUGUAGACGAAAACUAAAGCACUCUUCGUUUUUAUUCUUGAGUACCUCGAGGCAAAAGAACCUUGAGGGAAUCUGCCAGUACUAUCUGGUAAGGCUAAAUACAUAUUAUGACCGAUAGUGAACAAGUACCGUGAGGGAAAGGUGAAAAGUAUCCCGGUGAGGGAGAUGAAAUAGUAUCUGAAACCAUACGCUUACAAGGAGACGGAGCCUUAAUCAGUGCAUCUCACUUUCGUGAGCUGCAGAAGCUUGAAUACGAAUUAUGAAUUAUGUGGCGAAGAAUUUUAAAGUUUUCUUCCAUGAUUCUUGAUUCAACAUUCAUAAUUCUGUACGUCGCGAGAGCGAGGUGCAUUGGCGGGUGACGUCGUGCCUAUUGAAGAAUGAUCCAACGAGUUUAGAUAAUUGGCAGGCUAAGCGACGAUGUUGCGGAGCCGCAGGGAAACCGAGUGUUAAUAGCGCGAAAAUUUAUGUCGUUUAUCUAAGACCCGAAGCAAGGUGAGCUUGCCCUGAGCAGGGUGAAGCGGAGGUAAGACUCCGUGGAGGCCCGAACCGGUUGAUCGUGUAACGUCUUCGGAUGACUUAGGGUAAGGAGUGAAAAGCUAAUCGAACCUUGUAAUAGCUGGUUCUCUCCGAAACAGUUUUAGGACUGGCGGAAAUGAAUAAAUGUAAUGGGGGUAGAGCUACUGGUUGAGAGUCACAGGGCGAAAGCUCGGGCUUUCAGUCAAACUCCGAAUACCAUUACAUCUGCGUUUCUAGUUAGAAAGUGGGGGAUAAGCUCCAUUUUCGCAAGGGAAACAGCCCAGAUCGUAAGCUAAGGUCCCAAAAUCUAUGUUAAGUGGUAAAGGCAGUUGUUUGCCAUAGACAGGUAGUAGGUUGGCUUAGAGGCAGCCAUCCUUUAAAGAGUGCGUAACAGCUCACUACUCGAUGGCCGACAGCGCCGAAAAUUCAACGGGGCUAAACAUAGUACCGAAGCUACGGAUUCGAGCAUCUCACUUUCGUGAGCUGCAGAAGCUGGAAUUAGGAAGCAUGAAUUAUGGAGGGGAGCAGUUCCCAUUCUUAAUUCAUAAUUCUAUAUUCUUAAUUCUGCACGUCGCGAGAGCGAGAUGCUUGAGUGGUAGGAGAGCAUUCCAAGUGCAAUGAAGGCGGAUCCGCGAGGACUGCUGGAGUGCUUGGAAGAGAGAAUGUUGGAAUGAGUAACCGCAAUGUAGGUGAGAAACCUACACCCCGUAAACCUAAGGUUUCCGUGGCAAUGGCAAUCAUCCACGGGUGAGGCGAUCCUAAGGCAAUGGCGAACGCCGUAGUCGAUGGGAAGCAGGUUAAUAUUCCUGCCCGGCCAAAGGUGUGCGAUGAGGUGACGGAGGAAAAAAGGGUGAGCGCCUUAAUGGUUUGGCGUCGCUCUCAUUAAGAUUAGACAUCCAGGAAAAUCCGGGUGUCUGCCUUUGAUGGCAAUAGUCGCAUUUGAGCGUAAGGUCGGGUUUACCGACUAAUUCAUCUGAAGAGCCUUCCUAGAAAAACCUCUAAGCAUUACACUUUUGGUCAUCGUACCGCAAUCCAACACAGGUAGGUGAGGCGAGUAGCCUCAGGGGAACGAGUGAGUCCUCCUUAAGGAACUCGGCAAAAUAGCGGCCGUAACUUUGGGAUAAGGCCUGCCCGAGCAUCUCACUUUCGUGAGCUGCAGAAGCUGGAAUUAUGAAGCAUGAAUUAUGGAGGGGAGCAGUUCCCAUUCUUAAUUCAUAAUUCUAUAUUCUUAAUUCUGCACGUCGCGAAAGCGAGGUGUUUGGGCCGCAGCUAAAGAUUCUCUGGCGACUGUUUACCAAAAACACAGCUCCCUGCGAACUCUAAUGAGGAUGUAUAGGGGGUGACGCCUGACCGAUGCGAGAAGGUCAACGAUGCGGGUGAUUUAUUGCUCAGCGUCCGAAGCCCUCGUCAAUGUCAGCGAUAACUAUAAUCGUUCUAAGGUAGCGCAUUUCCUUUCCGGGUAAGUUCCGGAGCGCACNNNNNNNNNNNNNNNNNNNNNNNNNNNNNNNNNNNNNNNNNNNNNNGUGAAGACGCGGAUUACCUGCAGUGGGACGAAAAGACCCCGGGAGCUUUACUGUAGCUUGGUAUUGGCCCUAGGGAUUUUCUGCGUAGUAUAGUGGGGAGACUUUGAAGCCUUUCUUUCGGGGAAGGUGGAGUCGCCAGUGAAAUACCCAUCUUUAAAUUUCUAGUGUCUAACCCCAACGGAAAAAACGUUGUGGGACAGUGCCUGGCGGGCAGUUUGAGUGGGGCGCUCUCCUCCCAAAGAGUAACGGAGGAGUUUAUAAGGUUGGCUUGGCGUGGAUGGACAUCACGCUGGACGCGUAAAGGCAAAAGCCAGCUUGACGGCAAGACGUACAUGUCGCGCCGGUGCGAAAGCAGAACUUAGUGACCCGAUGGCAUUUAAUAGAAAAGCCUGAGACAUCGGAUAAAAGCUACCCCGGGGAUAACAGGCUAGUCUUCUCUGAGCGUUCACAGCGACGAGAAGGUUCGGCACCUCGAUGUCGGCUCGUCCUAUCCUGGAGCUGGAGAAGGUUCCAAGGGUGUGGCUGUUCGCCACUUAAAAGGGCACGCGAGCUGGGUUCAGACCGUAAAGCAGCUUUUAGCUAUUAGCUUCGAGCUUUUAGUGAAAGGAUGUUUUGCUGUCUGAAUCCCGAGGAAACGACAUACAUCAUGGCGGCAUACAAUAGCAAUAUUGUGUGAGAAGUUAACUAAUAUCGGUGAAAUCCAGAACGGACAAUACCGAGGGAAUGGUUCGACUUUCGCUCACCACGAGCGAUUUUCAAUCGGCCCGUAGAGACUAAAUGUUGACCAUCUAGUAAUAGAUGAAGUUAUAGUCCAAUCCACAUAGGAAUAUGUGAAACAACCAUCCAAAAUUAUUAUAAUUGGAUAAUUGCGUGAGACAGGUUGGUCUCUAUCUACUGCAGGCGUUUAGUGUUUGAGGAGAGUUGUCCCUAGUAAAAUUUGCUACUUCAUAGAGUAAUCUAUGAUGACAAAUCGGCUAAUAACGGUGAAAUCUUAUUAACUUCGGUACGUUGAUAGCCAUGUCGGCUCUAGUCCAGCCAAUAUGGUACAAUUACUUGAGGACCGGAAAAUUAAUAAGACAAUACCGUGGGAAGUCUAGCCAGUGCUAUGCACUGGAAAUUUCAAAUCCCAAAAUCCAAAUUCCAAAUAAAUUCCAAUAACCAAAAUUCUAAUGUCCGAAACAAAAAGUUUUGAGCAUUUGAAAAUUGAAAUUUAGAAAAUUAUUUGUUAUUUGGUGCUUGUUAUUUGGUGUUUCCGCUGCUGUAGCGCGGUGAUGACCCCGUAACGACUUGAUCUAAAUAGAUCAGACUUGCACAUCACUGGAAAGUUUUUAUAUUUUAAAAACAGGUGUGUGUGGGUAAUACGCCGACCCCUAACCCGUUUGGGAAGGGUGAAGAUAUAGUCUGCGCUCCUAGUGAUAGGGGAAGAACGUGACGAGAGGACCGGGAUGAACGAACCACUGGUCUACCGGCUUUGCUACCAAGUGAAGCGCCGGGCAGCUAUGUUCGGACAGGAUAAGCGCUGAAAGCAUCUAAGCGCGAAGCCCCCUCCAAGAUUAGACACUUUGCAUUCCCGUAAGGGUUUGCAGCGAUACCUGGAAGAUGACCAGGUGAUAGGCUCUAGGUGUAAGUGCGGUAACGUAUUUAGCCGUGGAGUACUAAGCAAUCG
This 4399-nucleotide ribosomal RNA is filed under the name Candidatus Harrisonbacteria bacterium CG10_big_fil_rev_8_21_14_0_10_44_23. Its description in RNAcentral is "bacterial LSU rRNA". The stretch from base 1 to 3372 matches the Rfam family "Bacterial large subunit ribosomal RNA". The record is from RNAcentral. Lineage: Bacteria; Candidatus Harrisoniibacteriota.